UGUUGCUAUGCUAGACAUAGCAGUAAUGCAGUUAACACAGUAAGUGUGCCGCCUGGGGAGUACGGUCGCAAGAUUAAAACUCAAAGGAAUAGACGGGGACCCGCACAAGCGGUGGAGCAUGUGGUUUAAUUCGACGAUACGCGAAGAACCUUACCUGGCCUUGACAUAGGAAGAACUCGCUAGAGAUAGCUUGGUGCUAGUUCACUAGAACUUCCAUACAGGUGCUGCACGGCUGUCGUCAGCUCGUGUCGUGAGAUGUUGGGUUAAGUCCCGCAACGAGCGUAACCCUCGUGUUUAGUUACUAACAGUUCGGCUGAGGACUCUAGACAGACUGCCUGGGUAACCAGGAGGAAGGUGAGGACGACGUCAAGUCAUCAUGGCCCUUGCGGCCAGGGCUACACACGUGCUACAAUGGGGUAUACAAAGAGCCGCGAUACCGUGAGGUGGAGCAAAUCUCAUAAAAUAUCUCCCAGUUCGGAUAGUAGUCUGCAACUCGACUACUUGAAGUUGGAAUCGCUAGUAAUCGUAGAUCAGCAAUGCUACGGUGAAUACGUUCCCGGGUCUUGUACUCACCGCCCGUCACACCAUGGGAGUUGAUUUCAUUCGAAGCGGGGAUGCUAAAAUAGCUACCUUCCACAGUGGAAUUAGCGACUAGGGUGAAGUCGUAACAAGGUAGCCG
Molecule: ribosomal RNA, 679 nt
Filed under: uncultured bacterium
Lineage: Bacteria
Description: bacterial SSU rRNA
Rfam family: Bacterial small subunit ribosomal RNA
Source: RNAcentral